Non-coding RNA from Paramuricea clavata, 167 nucleotides. The record is from the annotation of a GenBank genome assembly. Lineage: Eukaryota; Metazoa; Cnidaria; Anthozoa; Malacalcyonacea; Plexauridae.
AACGUCAUAAACAUUUAACUUAGAUGUUUAUGACGUUGACAUCAACGUCAUAAACAUUCAACUUUGUUGUUUAUGACGUUGAUAUUCAACGUCAUAAACAUUCAACUUAAUGUUUAUGACGUUGAUAUUCAACGUCAUAAACAUUCAACUUAGAUGUUUAUGAGGUU